GAGGCCUUAGCUUAAUUAAAGUGUUUGAUUUGCAAUCAUACGAUGUGAGUUAAUAUCUUACAGGUCUUA
This 69-nucleotide transfer RNA is filed under the name Puntius eugrammus (striped barb). RNAcentral describes it as "tRNA-Ala". It matches the Rfam family "tRNA". From Rfam's summary of the family: Transfer RNA (tRNA) molecules are approximately 80 nucleotides in length. Their secondary structure includes four short double-helical elements and three loops (D, anti-codon, and T loops). Further hydrogen bonds mediate the characteristic L-shaped molecular structure. tRNAs have two regions of fundamental functional importance: the anti-codon, which is responsible for specific mRNA codon recognition, and the 3' end, to which the tRNAs corresponding amino acid is attached (by aminoacyl-tRNA synthetases). tRNAs cope with the degeneracy of the genetic code in two manners: having more than one tRNA (with a specific anti-codon) for a particular amino acid; and 'wobble' base-pairing, i.e. permitting non-standard base-pairing at the 3rd anti-codon position. Lineage: Eukaryota; Metazoa; Chordata; Actinopteri; Cypriniformes; Cyprinidae. The record is from RNAcentral.